GGACAUUGAGAUAGCCAAUAAAAAGAAGUUGGCUAAGGAGCAGCUGCUGAAAGAUUUGGAGAAAGCCAAGUUAGAAACUAAGCCCAUUGACGAGAUCCUUGCUUGAAAAUGUCAUUUGCUGUCAAGAAUUUAUGUGCUGGCCGUCUUUUACUCUGUCUGAUCAUGUUUUUCAUUGUGUCUGUUUAGUUUGAUGGUGAAAAUGUGUUGAGUCUGUGGGUUAUCUAAGAGUAAACCUCGCUUCUUAUAGAAAAAAAAGAAGAAAUUUCUCCACCACCAUGGAAGUCUUCAAUUUGUUGUCCAGGGACAGGGUUCUUUUGUUCUAAAAUAUCAUUCAGAGCUUUUAGCUGUAUCAUGGAAUGGAAUUAUGAAAAUAGUCCUUUAACAUUCUUCAUUCAAUAAAAUGAGAGCUGUAUCAUUGUAUGUCUGAAAACUAAAUCCUUUCUUCUCUCCAAGCAUUGAAAUAUAAGGAUCCAGCCUCUGGGCUUGAGGCCCAAUAGUCUAGCUGCACCUCCGAGAGACAGCAUUUCCUCGCCAGGAGACCAAGCUGUAAUUUGAGGAGUACAUCCCACUGGAUCACGGAAAUCAAGCUUAAAAAGGAGGUGCCACAUGCAAUUAUCUGGUGUCAAGUUGAAUGGGAUGAUGUUAGUCAAUAUUACAUCUAAUUUCCACUAAUUAAAGGACCAAAAUGCAAGUUUAUUAAAUAAAACGCAUCACUUUAGAAACUUGUCCUCUUAGAAAUUAGUUCAUUGAUCGUCAUCAACAAUACACAGCUCACCCAGCCCAAGAAUUAAAAGGAUGAUUUUUGCAUUGUUUAUUGUCAAUUUAGACCAUUCUUUCUAAGUAAUGCAAAUUAUAGGUGGCGAGUAUAAACAAAUCUACCUACAUGAUUCAAAGUUGUGUGAGUAACUUUCAACUCUAAAAUAAAGGAUUUCAUCUUCUUCCUUUAGUUUAUCUCUGCAACAAGAAAAUACACACACAAUCCCAUAAAUAAUAAUAAAAAAAACUUAUUUUGUGGUGUUCGACUUGUUCAAACCUAGAAUUACGAGUCCUUUGACCUCUCCUUACUGUGCAAUCAGCAAGUUUAUUAUUGGGUUUGAUGGUGGCUAUGAGAGUAUAUGUUUAAUUUCUCUUUUACAAGUGAUCCAAUAUUGAAAGAGUUUUUAUGGAAAUAUAUUUGUCUUUAUUAAAGAAAUAGGGUUAGUGAGGCCAGGAAAAAGGAAAGAUGAUAUACUUCAUUUUCUCAUUAAUUUCCAUUUUUCUUCAAUAUCUCUCUUUUUUUUAAUUUUUAUCGUCUCUCUAAAAUAAUAUUUAUAAUGCAUUUUCCAAUUCUUAAACGUACAUAUGCAUUCAUUCAUUUUCCUAUCCGUGUGUGGGUGUAAGAAAUUCACUUUCUCAUCCACAUUCUCGCCUCCAAACUAAAAGCAAUUACAAACAAGAUAGCAAAACAACUCCAUCACGUCCCUUUUCACUUAAAUGGAUUCCAUAGAAGACAUUUGCUACUGCAAAUAGAAUCAAAAUAUUCCCCACACAUUGUAGCGGUAUCAAUUCCUAAACUUUCCUACCUUUGACGACUUGUCUUGUCGAGUAAAAAAUAUCAUCUUUUAUAUAUAAAAAAAAUCAUAAGGGAUAGAUUAAUUGAUCAGGUUUUAAGUUUACUAUCUAAUAAUCACGAGUUUAAGUCCUCUCAGGGCUAUUAGAGACUUAUAUAAUCGUUAACUUUAAAAUCCAUAAAAUUAAUCGAGAUACGUAUAAGAUAAUUUAAACACACCCACGUUAAUAGAAAAAAAAAAUACAAGUCACAAUCUUAGAGAGAGAGAGAGAGAGAGAGAAUAUUCAGUUAACCCUUUUUCCUUUUCUAACAAAUAAAAGGUAUAAAUUUGGAAUUUAACAACUCGUAUCAAUUGAAUUGCAUAAUCGAGUAAUUAUGUAACGAGAUUUUCCUGACAUGAAGGCAUCCAAGAACAAGGAAGACCCCAAAACCCUUGUGGGUAGACACAUCAGCACCAAGACGAUGUUGAAGGACGAGUCCGCAGAUGAAAACAGCUAUACCUAGUAAAAAUCCCAAUGAUCGAAUACAAGUAUGGACAUAGAACCACAUAGGAUCUCAUUUCCUGAAUUAGCAAGCAAUUAUUGCUCCGUUUAUAAUCAAAAUACCCCAGCCAGCCAUGUUCAAUGCUCCAUGGCUCUUCCUUAAUCUUGACUGUGGGAGUGAGGUUUUCUAUUUUACCGAAAAAGUUUAUUAUGUAAGUCUAUAUAUAUGGUCUUAAAAAGAAACGGAAUAAAAUCCAAAUAUAUAAAUAAAAAUUAUACCUUCAUUAUUGUAUUUUUAUUUUGUUUAAGAUUCGUAACUAGGUUUGUAAUUAGCAACGCUUGAUUUGUUUGUUUUUUCUUUCUUUUUUUCACAGGUUUCUUUGCAUGAAUCAUUCGUGGCAGAGCAUUCAGCUGGAAAAAAAAAGUGCACUUCGACUCUUUUUAGGGUUGUGUUUGCACUAGAAUUUUAAUAAUAUUUGAAUGUUUUAUUUAAAAUUAUUUUUAUUUUUUUUAGUUUGUUUUGAUGGGCAUACAAAAAUUAUUUGUAAAAAAUAAAAAAUUAUAUAUUAUUUAGAUGUAUUUUUUUUUAGUAAGUACUUAAUCUUGAAACAAGAGGGAUAGAGAAAACGAAAAAUUAUUAUAUUUUCAAUAUUGAGAGAUUGUGAAAAUUAAGAGUAUACAAAUAUCCUCUUCAAUGUCUAUCUAGAAGGAAGAGGGAUAAAGAAAACGAAAAAUUAAAAGUUUGGUAACUAGGAACAACCUCACUCCCUCACGAGCCAAGGAGCUAAGGAGAGGUAGUUGGCACAUGCCAACAUCCCCUAUUAUAUAUGCACACGAACCAUAGCUACUCUCUAACCAGGGUAGUUAAAUAACAGCAUUUGCAUCCCCAUUUUUUGCUUUUAUAAGAGCUAGGACAAAAAGACAAGAACUCAAGUCUUCGACCUAAAAUCAAGCCGGCAACGAUGGCCCCUUCUACCCUCACAGCUCUGGCAGAAGAGAAAACCCUCCAAGCAAGCUUUGUUCGCGACGAAGAUGAACGUCCGAAGGUGGCUUAUAACCACUUCAGCAAUGAAAUCCCUGUCAUUUCAAUAGCUGGGAUUGAUGAUGGUGGUGAAAAGAGAGCUGAAAUAUGCAACAAGAUCGUCGAGGCAUGCGAGGACUGGGGAGUUUUUCAAAUUGUUGAUCAUGGCGUUGAUGCUAAGCUGGUGUCUGAAAUGACAACUCUUGCUAAAGAGUUUUUUGCUUUGCCGCCGGAAGAGAAGCUUCGGUUUGAUAUGUCUGGUGGCAAAAAGGGUGGCUUCAUUGUCUCCAGCCAUUUACAGGUAUAACUUCUUUUACGUUUUGUUUUCUGAAUUUAACAAUUACGCAGACCUUUAUUGUUAAAUUUCCUAUCGGACUGAUCUUUUUCCAAAUGAAAAAUACAUGUUUCCAACUCAAAAAUAUACCAUGUGCCCGGCUAGCUAGCAAGCAAAUCAAUCAAACUUCUGUGAAAUAGUUCAACAAUUUUUUUGAGUUUUUUUUAUUAUAUAAUCUUGAUUAGAAACUUAAAGGAAAAAUUAAUUCAGUUUGGUUUCGGAUUCUUAGAAACUGAAAAAAAACAAAACCAUGAAUUAUUAGGCUUGGCACGACAGAAUUGACUGAAGAGCAAUACCUAAUAUAUCCAGUUUUGCUAGUAAAUCAUUUCUUGAUUACGCAAGAUCAAGAAAGCCACUAUUUUGGUUCAGGAAUUUCUCUUCCCCGCAAUAUGAAUGUGUAUUCUGUCCUUACAGACGAAAUUAUACGCUAAGAAGGUCUAUGAAAGUGUAGUAGAGGUUGCUUUUUUAAUAGUUUUUCGUGCCGAAAAGCAUGCUAAUAAUGUUUUUUUAUUUUUAAAAAAUUAUUUUUAAUAUCAACACAUCAAAACGAUUCAAAAAGUACAAACCGCACUUAAUUUUAACAAAAAAUAAAUUUAAAAUUUUUUAAAAAACAAGUUCAACAGCAAUAUCAAACGAACACUAAGAUUACAAGGUCAACAAGGGAAUAGUUGUAAUUUAACUGACUACUAUCAGCACACAUGGUGGAGCUAAGACUUUUAUUCUUGUAUGGUCUAAACUAAUCAUGACUUCUUGACAUACACGCACAUCACUAUAUAUAUAUAUAUAUUGGUUUUUUUUCUUCUUAAUGAGAUAGAGUGAGUGAAUUAAAAGUACAAUGCCUCACUGUAGGAAUCAACAAGGACUGAAAAGGAAAAAAAUUAGCUAUGAACAGUGACUUGAACAUGAAAAAUGAGAAAAGGGUCGUCGUCGGCCACUGCUUCAUAACAACAGUAAUAGGCCAAUCUAUUUUAGUUCUUUGUAAUAUCAUCAAGUACUUGAUGCUUUGAAGAUAGUAGACAGUACUAAUUUUAAAUCGAUUUCCUGAUUUAUGAUCUUAUAAAACAGGGAGAGGCAGUUCAAGACUGGCGUGAAAUAGUGACCUUCUUCUCAUACCCGAUUCGCACCAGAGACUAUUCAAGGUGGCCUGACAAGCCAGAGGCAUGGAAAGCAGUGACCGAGGAAUACAGUAAGAAGCUAAUGGAACUUGCUUGCAAGCUUCUUGGGGUCUUGUCAGAGGCCAUGGGAUUAGAAACAGAGGCCUUGACUAAGGCUUGUGUUGACAUGGACCAAAAGGUGGUGGUCAAUUUCUAUCCAAAAUGUCCACAACCAGACCUUACACUUGGACUCAAACGCCAUACCGAUCCCGGCACCAUCACCCUCUUGCUCCAGGACACCGUUGGAGGUCUUCAGGCCACUAGAGAUAACGGAAAGACUUGGAUCACCGUUCAACCUGUUGAAGGUGCUUUUGUGGUCAAUCUCGGAGACCAUGGUCAUGUGAGUAUGAAACUAAAAUAUUUCUUGUUAAAUACCAGAACUGCUAACCGUAAUUAAUUGUACUAAAACUAAAUGGUAUGUUUGCGAGGCAGUAUCUGAGCAAUGGAAGAUUCAGGAACGCAGACCACCAAGCUGUGGUGAACUCAAACUCUAGCAGGUUGUCCAUAGCCACAUUCCAGAACCCAGCACCAGAUGCUACAGUGUACCCUCUCAAGAUUAGAGAGGGAGAGAAGUCGGUGCUAGAUGAGCCAAUAACAUUUGCUGAGAUGUACAGGAGGAAGAUGAGCAAGGACAUUGAGAUAGCCAAUAAAAAGAAGUUGGCUAAGGAGCAGCUGCUGAAAGAUUUGGAGAAUGCCAAGUUAGAAACUAAGCCCAUUGACGAGAUCCUUGCUUGAAAAUGUCAUUGUUGUCAAGAAUUUAUGUGUUGGCCGUCUUUUACUCUGUCUGAUCAUGUUUUUCUUUGUGUCUGUUUAGUUUGAUGGUGAAAAUGUGUUGAGUCUGUGGGUUAUCUAAGAGUAAACCUUGCUUCUUAUAGGAAAUAAAAAGAAGAAAAAGAAUUCUCCACCACCUUGGAAGUCUUUAAUUUGUUGCCCAGGGACAGGGUUCUUUUUUCUAAAAUAUCUUUCAGAGCUUUUAGCUGUAUAAUGGAAUUAUGAAAAUAGUCCUUUUACAUUCUUCAUUCAAUAAAAUCUCAGACAGGGUUCUGCUUUUUCUUAGUUUCAUCAGGAGCAACUUUUGUGGCACCAGGCCUAGCUCACCAUUCAGACAUUGGCCUUACCAAAUUUAUGCCCAAUUUGGAUACCAAAGAUAUUUCAUGUGAUACAUGUCAUUUGUCUAAGUUUACUAGACUUCCUUUUAUGCCUUUAUUGUCGCAAAUAAGAUGUUUGAUAUUGUUUAUUAUGAUAUUUGGGGACCAACUAUUGAAUCUUUUUAUGGUUAUAAAUAUUUUAUUUUUUUUGUUGAUGACUUAUCUCAUGUUACUUGGAUUUAUCUUUUAAAAUUCAAGAGUGAUGUUUUGCAUGUUAUUUGAAAUUUUAAAUGCUAGUCAUGACUCAAUUUUCUAAAAAAAUAAAAAUUCUCUAAUCUGAUAAUGACACUGAAUACAUAAUAAAAAAUAUGAUGCAAUAUCUAGCUUCUCAUGGCAUUUAAUAUCGGUCAAGUUGUAUUGGCACAUUUCAAAAAAAUAAGGUAGCUGAGUGUAAAAAUAGAGACCUAUUAAAAAAAACUAGAGCCUUAAUAAUACAAAUGAUGUUCCCAAAUUGUUUUGGUCUCACUAAGUGUUAUUUGUUGCAUAUCUAAUCAAUCGGCUACCUAGCCGAGUGUUACAUUUUAGCCGAGUGUUACAUUUUAAAUCACCUCUUGAAAUCUUAUAGAAAUAACCACUUAAUUUAUCUAAUUUGUGAGUGUUUGGGUACACUUAUUUUGUUCGUAUACAAACUUCACAUCAGGACAACCUUCAUUCAUGGGUUGCUAAGUAUGUUUUAUUAUAAUACUCCUCAACACAAAAAGGGGUAUAUAUGCUAUCAUCUCCCUCUAAAAAGAUUGUUUAUAUAAAGAAACGUAUGAUUUGAAGAAAGUUCUUUAUACUUUAAAAACAUAAAUCAACAAGAAGGCUUGACAAACUUGUUUCCUCUACCUAAUGCAGCUUUUACAUACUUGGCUUCAUCUUCAGAAACACUACCUGCUGUAGAUGACACUUCUUCCUUUCCUGAUGGCAUGACUAUUAAUGAAGGGAAUGUCAGUCAUGUUAGUACAUACUCUGAACACAACCCUAUAUAUUCAAAAGCUAAUGACAAUAGCAAUCAUAAUAGGCAUUUGUCCAUCAUAGUUGUAGAUAUGCCUUCUGAUUCAAGAGUUGUCAUUUCUUUUAUCUCGGACUCUGAGGGUGAUUCUGCUAAUCAGUCUUUUCUAUAACACCCCUUAUCAUUCCUAUUAUCAUGGAUUCUAAAGGUGAUUCUACUAAUCAAUCUCCUCUGCCGCAGCCACGUAGGAAUCCAAACCCUCACUGUGUUCCUCUUACAAAAUUACAAGACUUUGUCACACAUACAAUAAGACAUCCUAUCUUUAAUUACCUUACAUAUCAACAUCUCUCAGCUGAACAUACUGCCUUUUCUUAUUGCUAUCUUUGAUGUGCAUAAACCAUGACAUUUUCAAGAGGCAAAUUCACAGGAUGAAUGGUGGCAGGCUAUACAUGAUAAGCUACAAGCUCUUGAUCAAAAUAAAACCUAGAGUUAUAAGGUCAAACUUCCUAAAGAUGGGUUUAUUGACAUAUACAAAGCAUGUCUUAUGGCUCAUGGCUAUACUCAAACUUUUAGCGUAGAUUAUAAGGAAACUUUCGCACACAUUGCAAAAAGGAACAUUAUUCAUGUUUUGCUCUUAAUGGUUAUAAAUAAUAUAUGGUUGAUGUAUCAAAUGGAUGUUAAGAAUGCUUUCUUGCUUAGAAACCUUGAAGAAGAAGUCUGCAUUAAGUUGCCCCUCAUCACCCUUAAAGUUCAGAGUUCAAACCCUAACUUAGUGUGUCAGCUUCACAAAUCUAUUUAUGGGCUGAAGCAAUCUCCACGUGCUUGGCAUGCACAAUUAAGUGUUGUUCUUGGAGACAUUGGCUUCAAACAAAGUAAUGCAGACUCCUUAUUUGUUCAUUUUGGACUAAAGGUCAAAUUAAUGGUUCUUAUAUAUGUUGAUGACCUUAUUAUUAUGGGAAAUGAUGGUAAAGCAAUAUCUCACCUCAAGACUACUCUGCAACAAUGUUUUUCCAUUAAAGAUCUUGGCAGUUUGAAGUAUUUUCUUGGGAUUGAAAUGGUUGUUUCUCACAAAUGGCAAUUCCUUAAUCAAUGCAAGUAUGUUCUUAAUUUUUUUAAGGAUGCCAAAAUUAUGGAUGUCAAACUUGUCCCUACUCCAUUGGAUAGUAAAUUGAAGCUUGAAACAGCUAGUGAACCUCUUUGUUUUAUUAAUUACUAUCAAUAUCUUGUUGGUAGACUCAUUUAUCUUACUAUUACACGAUCUGAUAACACCUGCGUAAUGAGCCUUGUUAGUCAAUUCGUGCAUGUUCCUACAAUCUUUGACUUUAGCAUUCUUAAGUGAAUUUUGUGCCAUUUAAAGGGUUUUGUUGGUCGUGGGAUUGUUAUGACUAAUCAUGAUCAUACUCAAAUUAUUGGAUAUAGUGAUUCGGAUUGGGUUGGCAAUGUUAUUAAUCACAAAUCAAUCACAAAUCAAUCACUAGCUUCUACAUGUUUGUUGGUAGUAAUCCUGUCUCCUGGCGUACUAAAAAGCAGCAUGUUAUUGCAUGUUCUAGUGCUGAAGUUGAGUAUCAUGCGAUGGCAUCCGUAGCUUAUGAAUUAAUUUGGCCUAAAGGUCUUAUGUCAGAUCUAGGAUUUUCUAGCAGUAUUCCAAUGAUUUUGUUUUGUAAUAAUCAAGUACUAUACAUAUUGCAACUAAUCUUAUGUUUCAUGAAAGAAUUAAACACAUUAGAGUUUAUUGUCAUUUUAUUUGUAAACAAGUUCAGUAAUAGAUUAUAAAACCAUGUUAAACCCACAGUCACAAUCAACUAGUUGAUGUGUUUACAAAGAUCCUGACUUUAGCUUACUUUUAUCGGUUAAUAUCCAAGCUUGGCUCAAUCAAUCCCAUUGAUCCAAUCAAUCCCAUUGAUCUAGCUUGAGGGGGAGUACUGAAAGAAACCGACCAAGAUGGAUUCCUACUACAACACAUAUUGCAGAGUUUGAUUUCAACACAGCUUGCAGAGUUUGAUUCCUACUAUAAUGUUGCCAACCCUCGGUAUUCAUAUCAUGAUUGCUCUGUAAACAAUUGAUAGGAUAACUAUUAAUAUACAUAGAUUCUGAUAUGCCAAGAUUAUAGGAGAAUUAAUAGCCAUCAUCCUCCUUGUUGUUGUCUCUAAUUUUGUAUAUAUCUUCGCUAUUGUAACAGAUAAAAACAUGAAAUAAGAUUCUCCUUUCUCUUUUGUUUCUCUAACCUGAUAUUAGAGAUAUGCUUAUUUACCAAAAAAAAAAAAAAAACAAUCAUUCAUGAGAUGCUUUUGAUAUUUUAUUUUGUAAAUAGAUCGUGAUUGAGUGAACCCAACUCUAGUUAUACAUUAAGAUUUUGCACAUAUAAAUUUAAAAAUUAAUAAAUAAAUAAAAAUUCAAAUCACCAAAUAAUAUGCUGACCUUUUCUUUUGUUAGAUUAUAGAAUAAAACAUCCAAGUGUGUGGUUUCAUUCGAUUCAAUGAGAACUCUUAUCCUUUCCUUUUCUUUCAUAAAAAGUAAUUCUGAUAUAACUAUAAAAUAAUAGUGUUGUAAUUUUUAUUUUAAAAAAAUUAGGAUUAAAUAUUUAACAUAUAACUUUCCUAAGUACUAUACAAAAAUAAUGAGAGCAAUAGGAAUUUAAAUAUUUAUAUAAGUGGGUCAAGAAUUCCUGUCACUCUUACCCUUUUCUUUUUUAUUUUUUACAAUCACGAUCUUUACAUUAUCAGAACAAUUUGCAUGUCUGAAAACUAAAUCCUUUCUUCUCUCCUAUCACUGAAAUAUAAGAUUAUUAUCUUCCAUAAAUUACUUUUUUCAAUACAAAUAAACACAGUAACCUUCCUGCUGAAUCGAGUCAUGAAAAAAAAAUAUAAGAUCUCUUUUUCUUUUUGGUUGCCUAGACUGAAGCUCGAGUCAUGAAAGUUGAAUCGACAAAGUCUGGCAGCUUGACAGCGUCUUCGUUUUCACGUGCCAUCCUGGGAGGCACCCUUCCGAUUUGACUGUUUGGUAACGUUAGACCCCUAAAAUUGAACAGAUUUCUUGAUCGCAGAUUGUGACCCAGCCCAGUUGGCCAUUUCUAGCCAUGGGUUCGCCGGAUGGCACCCUUCUGAUUUUCUCUUCUUUUUAGUUUUACUUGUUUAUCUAUAUUUUUUCUACUUCGAGACAAGGGAUCACACGAGUUCUCUGUCCUUACUGCGCAAUCAAGGAAUUUAAUUUUGGGUUUGAUGGUGGUCAUGGGAAUAUUUUUUUAAUUUCUCUUUUACAAUAUUGAAAGAGUUUCUAUGGAAAUAUAUUUGUCUUUCUUAAGGAAAUAGGGCUAGAGAGGCCAGAAAAAAGGAAAGAUGAUAUACUUCAUUUUCUCAUUAAUUUCCACUUUUUCUUCCAUCCUGACAAAGCCACUAUCUCCAGCUCGAUUCAACUAUCUCCCCUGUGUAGCUUGACUCGCUCGGGGAUGUUUGGUAAUGUAGCUGAGGGUGAAUCUCACCCGCAGCAACAAAUAUUUUUAUUUGGUUAAGGAAAAAUGGUGGUUUAUGCUGGUGGGACCCAUUAAUUUUGCAGUUGUAUAGCAGGUUUUGUAGAAGCAGCAUUUUAUUGCUUCUCAUGGAGGAGGAAUCACUAAACAGUGGAGCAUGACUCUACUGUUCACGUGAACAGUGGAGACAUUCUUCAUUGUUCCGGUCGGAUCAAGUCCGGUUUAAAGUUAAAAAUACAUUGAACCGGAUUCGACUCGACAAAAUAAAAAAAAUAUAUAUUUUUUUAUUUUUAAUUAUGUUUUAUUUGAAAAACUAGUGUUAAAUAUUAUUCAAUAACACUACAUAAAUUAGACGGAGAUCACUUGAUAACAUAGUAUUUGCAGAAUUUGAUUGCAAUUCUAAUUUUGUUCCUGAUUAUAUUUUACCUGAUAUUGUUGCGCUCUUAAAAAAUUUGUGAAAACUGUAGUCCUUGUUGGAUGUAUUUCAUACAUGAUAGAAUUGAAGAUAAUUUAAUGGAACAAUACAGAAUAUUUAAUAUUAAGUGUUAUUUAUUUCAUGAUGUAAUAGUAAUAAUUAAAUCUACAUUAUUUAAAUUAAAAACCAUCAAAAUAUAUAUAUAUAUAUAUAUAAUCUCAAUUUGAAAAGCAUUUUUUUAACCAAACACAUUAAAUUACUUUUUGCUCAACCUCAAUUACAACCACAGUUUUAAGCAAACAUAUAUUUUUUCAAGUCAACCUCAACUAAAAGUACUUUUUAUAAAAUAAUUUUUUUCAAAUCCCAACUACAAUAGCUACCACAAUAUCAAACACACUAGAAGCUCUUUGGAAACGCGGUUCAAAGUUUUUAAAAAAUUCAAAAAAAAAAUUGUAUGUUUUUGAUAGCUUUGAUGCGCUGAUUUCAAAAUUAAUUUUUUAAAAAUAAAAAAAUAUAUAUCAUUUUGAUGUAUUUCGACACGAAAAGCAUUUUAAUGUAUUUUUUCGACACAAAAAGCAUUUAAAAAAAAACAUCGUUUUGAUGUAUUUCGACACGAAAAAUAUUUAAAAAAAAACAUCAUUUUAAUAGUGUUUUAAAAUACAUUAUCAAAACAAUCAAAUAUUGAUUUUUUUCAAUCACCUGGAAUAUUAUACUUCAGGGUACACAGGAAUCCCUUAUAUAUUAUAGGUAAGUUAGACAAUCAAGCAUUAUAAUCAUUAUUAUCAGAUGCUGAAUUUUUAGCUAUGGUCUGAAAAAAUUGGUUCUUUAUUUUUUACAUGAUUUUUAAAUAUUAUUAUCAAUUUUUUUAAAAAAUACCUACGAGUCUGUCUUCUAUAUUUUUAGCUAUUGUCUGACCAGGUCGUCAAAGAAUUCACUGAUGCUGAAUUUUCAGAGAAUGCUAGCGAAGUAUUAUUGGAUGAAUCGCUUUCGUUUGGACAAAAAAGAAAAGAAAAGAAAAGGUCUUAGUUUAUGUAACUGGCUAGUCUCAAGUCUUUUUAUGGACUCGGUCAGUGUUUGAUUUUCUUCCAUAAUUUCGCUUUCCUUUCAUGUCAUGUCAGUUGGGAGUGCAAGCCCUCCACAAAAGUUUUGCCCUAUUAAUAUAUUGAUUUUUGGAUUUAGUCAAAUUUUAUAUUUUUGGUAAUUAUUCAAUUUACUAAUAUAAGUACUUUUUACUGCCUACACACGGAUAGGAAAACUUUUUUCAUAUAUAAUUAACUUAAAGUAAUGAAAAUUUUGGUUUGCUUUGCUAUAAAAAAAAUAAAUAUCUAUAUUAAAAUAUUUUUUAUUCAUAAAUGUAUCAAAAUAAUAUUUUUUAUUUUAAAAAAAAUUAUUUUUAAUAUUAAUAUAUUAAAAUAAAUUAAAAAUAUAAAAAAAUUACAAACCUAGUAACGAACCUUAAACAAAAUAAUAAUACAAUAAUGAAGGUAUAAUUUUUAUUUAUGUAUUCGGAUUUUAUUCUGAUUCUCUGUAACAUUAUAUAUAUUUAUAUAAUAAACUUUUCCGUAAAAUAGAUCAAAUCAAUCAUGAUUAAAAUGACCAUCUGUUUCAAAAACUCCAGAUGCAAAUUUUUUUUCAUAUAUUAAGCAUUUUGUUUUUGUUUUUUUAACAUGGAAUACAAGAUACAUCACUGUUUCUACUAUUUAUUAAGCUUAUUUUUCAUCAAUAAUCUCUUAAAUUUGUAUGUUAUCACAACAACUAUAUUGUGUAUGGUGUGUUUAAGAUUUUCAUGUGUAAUAAGUGUAACAAGUCAGAAAAUUUUAUAAUGUAUAAUAAAUAAUUAGUGAUAUCUUAUUACUUACUAAAUUCAAUUUAAAAAGAAGAAGAAGAAAAACACCAUACAAAUUACUCCUACCAAGUUUCAUGAUCAACAUGCUUCCAUCUAGUAUAAAAAACUGAUUUUAGACAGGGAUAAGUAAAAAAUUGAAAAAUCGAUUAAACCAAAAAACAAAAAAAAAUCGAAAUAACCGAACUGUAAAAAAAUUAAUUAAAUCGAUUAAAAUUUUAAAAAAAAACCGACUAGUUUGGUUCGGUUUUAUAAGUCUGAAACAAAAAAAACCGAACCAAACUCUAACUGGAAAAAAACUGAGCCAAAAAAAAAAACCAAGCCAAACUGGUUUGAACCGGGUUUUGUCCUUAAAAAACCGAACCGAAUCGAAACCGGUCGGUUUGAAUUGGUUUUGAUUUUUUAAUUAAAAAAAAUCGGUUUGAUUACUUUUUUUUUUAUAAAAACCAAACCAAACAAAAAAUAAUCACCCCUAGUUUUAGAAACCAAAUUAAGAAUUGUUGUAUAGGCUGGAGUCCUAUAUAAGAUUAUAUUUUUAUAUUAUUUGAUCUCUUAUUCAUAAUGCAAAACGUGCUUAAAUCAACUUUUAAGAUGGAUUAGUAUCUCUUUUCUAUAUUAGAGUAUAAUAUGGUAAUCAACUAUAUAUUAUGAUAGCUUAUUAUUCUCUCUAAAUUUUCAGUCAAGGCCCCCGUGGAAUUUUAUUUUCUUUUCUAAUGUCCUAAUAAUAGCUGAAUCAAAAUCCGAAAAAUCAAACAAGCUCCUUAAAACCAUAUUCAUAUCUUGAUAAGAAUGUCCCAAUAUAUAUGUAGUGGAGAAAAUUCAUCCUUCCAAAUCAAAUAAUAGCAUCACAGUGAAAGCGUAUAUAUAACCUGUUUGUUUUUAUAUUUUAAAAUAUAUUUUUAAAAAUAUAAAUUAUUUAUUUAAUUUGUUUUUAUUUUAAAUUAUUUUUAUGUUUUUAUAUUGUUUUGAUAUGCUAAUGUUAAAAAUAAAUUUAUAUAUAUAUAUAUAUUAUUUCAAUACAUUUCUAAACAAAAAACACAACUACCUAUAAUAUGUUCAUUAUAACUAAAGCUAAAAGUUUUGGGGAAAACAUUAUUUUCCCACACCCGUUAGCACUAUGAAUUACUGCAAUUUGUUUUUCAUUUUAAUCUUUCUUUUUUUGGUUAUUGAUUUUUUUUUAAUUUAGUCAUUAUAUAAUAUAUUUAUGGGAUUUAGAGUUAAUAAUUUAUUUUAAUUUUUUUUUAUAUGGUUAUUGCAAUAUCAAUAAAUAUCAUUGAUAUUAGAAAAAUAUCUCGAGGUAUGGUCUAUUUUUUUUUUAAAAAAUAGUUAAAUAAAAAAUAAUUUCAAGAAACUAGAUUGAUAAACUUUAUGGAGUCAAUGACCCAGUUUGCGAGUUUGACGAGGUAAUCCUGGUUGCCUUGGUUUGUGGGUUUGGCAAGUAUUUUUUUUUUUGUAAUUAAACUUUAUUAUGUGAUUGUCUAUUCUUCUUUUUAUCAUAUAGUUAAAAAAAAAUCAUAAAAAAACAUGUUAUUAAAUUUUAGAAAGUUCAUGGGCCUGUUGACGAGUAUGAUGACUUUGACUCUCUUUUUUUUUCUUUUUUUAUAAAUUUAUUUUUUUUAUUUCAUAAUUUGAUAUUGAAUUGAUUGAGAAUCGAGUUUAAUAAUUUAUUUCAUUUUACUUUCUAUGAGGUUAUCAUAAUAUUUUUUUAAGUUUCAGUAUUGGUUUGACUCAAUUUUACGAUCUAUAUUUAUUAUCAUACAAUUAAAUAAAACAAUAGUUUAAAAAACAAAACAAGUUAUUAAUCUCAAUUUACAAGUUUGAUGUGUUAACCUGGAUUACUCAAUUCACAGGUUUAACGAGUUUAUUCAUCUAACCUGAUAUGUUUUUUUUUUUUUAGUUUUGGUCCUUUAAUCUUUUUUAUUUUUUUUAUUUUAAUCAUUUAAUAUUAGAUUGGUUGAAAAAUUAAAUUCAUAGUUUAUUUUUUCUACUUUCUAUAAGGUUACCACGAUCUCAAUAUAAAUAUUUUUUUAGAGUUGACACUUGAUUUUGAAGCAUCUAAUGUUAUUAUAAAAUUAAAAAAUUUUUUACAAAAACAACAAUAUUAUUAACUUACUGAAAUCCAUAAUUCAGGUCACAGGAUGACCAAUAUCAAUUCAAUUUGGCACCGUCUUAAUAUAUAUAAAAAAUUGUAUUUUACAUUUUUUUUAAGUUAUGUUAUGUUUUUACUAGUCAUUCAAGUUGUCUUUGGACUCAUUAAAUUGAAUAAUUCAUUUUGAAUAAGCUCUCACGUGGUUUUAUUCAUAACUCGAGUUAGACAAAGAGUUAGGUUGGUAGGUUUCAAGAUCAAACUGUUGUAUUGAAUUUAAUAAUAUUAUUAACAAAAUCUCUAUAUUUUUAAUAUAUAUUUUUUAAAAAAUUAAAAUAAUUCCCCACACAACUAAACGCGUGGGACAAUGCUAGUACAUGCUAUAGGAUGUUGGAUUAUAGAGAUAGCAACUUCCAAUGCUGAUAAAAACGAUAUGCUCCACAAUUUUGUACUUUCUGGAAAAAUAAAUCCCACGUGUUCCCAAUGGGACUGUUUCAUAUAGCAUAGGUUGUUUUUUAAGGAAAAAAGUUUAUAUUUAUUUUUAACAGUUUAUUUAUUAGUACAGAUUGUUUUUCAAAUAAUAUUUUGUGUUAUAAUAUAUAUUAAUAAUUUUUUAUUUUAAAAAAAUAUUUUUGACAUCAAAACAUUAAAAUAAUUUGAAAACAUUAAAAAUAUAUUAAUUUAAAAUUAAUAAAAAAAUAAAAAAAAUUCAAUUUUUUUUUAAAUAUUUUUGAAAUAAGAAAUAGUUACUAAGCUGCAAUGGUUCCUGUAGCCAUACCUGUAACAACUUGAUCUGACAGACUAACAGACAAGGAUUGUCACCAGUGGUCCACCUGUAAUUUGCUAACACGUUUAUAUGUUAGCCGGAGCACGCGGUUGGAUAAGAAUGUGCGUUCAUACUUGUGAGCUUCCAAAAACAGAAUUGAAAAAUGUGUAGAGACUUUUUAAAAGUUCAUUUAAAUUUCGGUGCUGUUGAUUGUGCCGGUUGUUUUUUUAUAUAAAAAAGAUAUUUUUUAAUAUUUAUUUCUUGAAAUCAAUAUAUAAAAACAAUAUAAAUAUAUAUUAAAAAAAAUAUGGUUGAAUUUAACAGCCGACAAGUUUGAAUUUGGGACACCAAGCCGAGUCUUAAAAAAUAGUGUUUAUUUUUUUUUCCAUGUACUAUGAUGAAUCUAUUAUGCCACCUCCCCUUCCCUUCCCUUCCCUUCCCUCGUUUCCAACAAGUGUUCAGACUCGUGGGCUUGUUGCCCUAUUAUUAUAUAUUUAAGGUCACAUGUUUAUUGCAUACAGGUUGUUGGUGAAAUAUACAGUUCCAUCUCCUUCCACAACUCUGCACUUUUUUUUUUUCUCAUGUGCUGGAAGAUAUCCGUCCUCGUGGCUGCAGAUACAGGAAUAGUAUCAAUUGCACAACCUUUUGACUUAUUUUUUUUAAAAUUAACAACUAUAUAAAUUUUUAGUAAUUUUAAAUUUUAAGACUCGAACUGAUAACCUUUAAGAAACAAAUCUAAAAUCUAAACAGUUAAAUUCAAUUGCUUUUUUUUUUUCUAAUAUGCUUGUGAUAAAGUUAUAAUUGCUACGUAAACAAUUAAAAAUAUAAUAGUCUAUUGCUUAAAUCUUUUUAAAUUGGGUGUUUAAUAUCAUAGCUUUAAAAUUUGAAUUAACUAGUAUGGCUAAGUACUGAUGUUUUUUUUUUAAGUUAUUUGUUUUUAAAUCUGAUAUAUAUUUUUUAAAAAAUAUCAAAAUAAUUUAAAAAUAUUAUAAAAAAAUUCAAUUUCUUUUUUAAAAAACUCUUAUCACCGCAAAAACCAAAAACCAAACGGACAAUAAUAGUUCUGUCGAGGUUACUUCUUUCCAGUUUCCGGGAGUACAUAUUCUGUUAUACCAGCAAGUAGCCUAUGUGCAACCUAUUCGAAGAUGGGCUUUCGUUGUCCUUUGGACAAGGACUGGUUUUUAUUCGUUUCUACAUGGUUAAUUUAUAAUUGCUAGGCUAGACUAGCUCAGAGCACACAGUAAUUUUUCUUCGUCAUAAAUGGAGGAUGCUGAAGUUAUGAGUCAAUAUUCCAACAAUAAUAUAUUUGAAAAGAUUGCAAAUAAGUUUUUGAACCAUAACACGAAAGUGGAUUUGACCGUGUUUUAUACGUCACCAACAAGCGAUCCAAUCAUAAACGAGAGAUUGAUGAAAAAUCUUUAAUUUCAACUUUAGCUUUUUUGGUCAAUGACUAGUUAUAAAAAAUAAUAAUUAACAAUCUUAUCAUUUAUGUUGGAUAUCAUACAAUCUAAUGAAUAGUUGUUGGUUGAAUUUCAUGGCUAGUGAUUAUCUUUUUCCUUAAUAAUUUUGAUACCGUUUGUUUUUUUGUUUGGAAAGAUUGUUUCUAUAUAAAAAAAAAUUACAUUAUUUUUUUAUAUAUUUUAAACUAUUUGAUAUAUUGAUGAUAUCAAGAAAUAAUAUUAAAAAAUAAAAAAUUAUUAUUUUAAUAUAUUUUCAAAAAAAUAUUGUAAAAAAAUAACUAUACACAACAUUUUCCCUAUAAAAUACAAAGGCUCGGAAUGAGGUAUGUCGAGCUUGUUUGGCAGUCUAAUUAUAGUUAUUUUUCAAAUAAUUUUUUGUGUUAAAAUACAUGUUAAUGAUGUUUUUUUAUUUUUAAAAAAUUAUUUUUGACAUCAACAUAUCAAAAUAAUUUAAAAAUAUUAAAAACAUAUUAAUUUAAAGUUAAUAAAAAAUAAAAAAAUUUAAUUUUUUAAAAAAAUACAUUUAAAAUAUAAAAAUAAACAGGUCAACCGUUAAUUACCUCUUGAUACUGCUUAAUAGUAGAAAAAAAAAGUGGCUGGAUCAAAUAAAAAAGAUAAAAUGCCAAUAAGAAAAUGCCAAGGCUGGAAACGAGGCAGGCAAUAUCCGGAGAUUUACCGUGUUUUUCUACAAAAUAUUUUUUAUUUAAAAUAAUUUUUUAUUUUAAAAUUAUUUUAAUAUAUUUUUAAAUAAAAAAAUAUUAAACCACACCUGCUACCCCAUCACAAACAACCCGUAAUAAAUAAUUAAUUAGUUUUAUAGGAGACAGUUCGUGUCAAGCUGUCCUUAUCAUCAGCAUGGGGUCAAGGUCUGGAAAAGCUAUGAACUGGACAAACACAAAGACUAAUAAUUGUACAUGACAUAUGUGAUGACUGACCUCGUUUUGAUUUGACUUUUGAAGAUGUCUCAAUUAUGACCAUUUCAUCAAAUUUACGAGUUUUAUUUAUUGAUCAUUUAUUUCUAAUUCCUGCUUCCUCGUCGCAAUUGCCUGUGAAGCAGCGUCAGCAAUAACAAGAGUGUGAUUGGUAUUGGAAUAGUUUUUAUAGUUAUAAUUUGAAAAAAAUUAUUUUAUAAAAAAUAGUUAAUGUUAGUUUGGAAAAAUAGGUGUUUGAUUUACUCUGUGGUUGAAAUUAAGGUUGAAGAAAAAAUAGUUUAAUGUGUUUGGUUAAAAAAAUGAUUUUCAAAUUGAGGUUAUAAAAUAAUUAAAAUAUAUAUAUAUAUAUUAAUAUUAAUGAUUUUUAAUUUAAAUAUUAUAAAUUUAACUACUGUUAUUACAUCAUAAAAUAAAUAAUAUUAAUAUCAAAUUUUUUUAUUAUUCCAUUAAACUAUGUGCAAUGUCAUCACAUACGAAAUCUAUCCAAUAAGGACUAUAUUUUUCAUGGUUUCUUAAGUGCGCAACAACAAAAACUGAAUCUUUUGUUACAUCAUCAAGCGAUCUCCUUCUAAUUUUUUGAAUAGAACACAAUUAAAAUAAAAAUAAAAACUGAAUUUUUUUUACUGGGCCGGACCCGGCAAUAACAUAAUUGGAAUUGCGAUCAAAUUUCACAAAUGCUACGUCAUUAUGCGAUAUCUUUCUAAUUUAUGUAGUGUUAUUUAAUAAUAUUAAGUACUAGUUUUUCGAGUAAAACACAAUUUUUUUAAAAAAACCAACAAUUUCAUUAUGUACAAAAUUCAUUCGACAAUAACUACAGUUAUCAUGAUUUAUCAUGCGUGCAAUAAAAUUAAGUAAAAUAUUAUCAGAAAUAAAAUUAAGAUUACAGUACGAAUAAAUUUAAUUUACCUUAAACUAUUUUUUAAAAAAACAAAAAAAUAUAUUUUUCACGUUCACGUGGACAAUACGAGUGCAAUUAAUUAACUGUACUAUUUUUUCAGGAAAAAAAUAAACUUUGCGCACUAGUUUUUUUUUUUUUUAAAAAAAAUUGUUCACUUAGUGAACAGUGCGCAGUGGAGCAUGACUCCACUAUUAAUGUUUGUUUAUCAGCAUGAGAAGCAGCAAAAUGCUACUUCUCAAAACCUGCGAUGCAGACAUAAAUACUAGUGGGCCCUAUCAACAAAACACGCUGCUUUUUCUUUAACCAAACACUAGGUAGUGUGGUUGCGGGUGAACCUCACCCGCAGCCACACUACCAAACGACCACUAAGUUGCUAGGAAAAAAAAUCACCUCAAUGAAAUCAUUCAUAAAUUAUUAAUUAAACCAGAUUUUUAAAACAACUAAGCUUUAAGAUCUGUUUUUUUUUUUUAAAUCAGGUUUAAAUUUAAAUAUAAAUUAAAUGAUUUUUUCAAAGAUAAAUAAAACUGAAUCUAUUUAAAUUAAAACAGAUUAAUAAUAAUUAAUAAAUCUAAGUAUUAGAUCAAACAACAAAUUGCAAACUGAAAAAAAUAAAAUAGACAUGCAUUCAAAGCAACAUAAAUAUGAUAUCUAGUCUUGUGCAGAUCAUAACAUAUAUCAAGCUUUUGAUAAUUUGAUAAUAUUUAAUCGGAGGAUCUUUUCACCUUUAUUUUUAGGCAAAUAUACAUUUAUAUUUAUUCAUGUUUUGAUAAUGUUAUUAUCACUUUUCAAAAAUUUAUCAAAAAAUUUCUUGAUAUAAUGAGAUUGAGAGAAUGCCAAACUAUUAGAUGUUAUAGAGAUUUUUAUUCUUAGUAUGAUAUUUACAAUAUCCAAGUCUUUCAUGUCAAACUUACUAAUUAAUAUUUGUUUGGUGGACAUGAUUAUAUAUUCGUUGUUUCCUAAAUUUAACAUACCAUUCAUAUAAAGAUAUACAAUAACAUAUUAUUUAUCUAUGUUUUUUUAUAUAAAGAUAUUUAUCAACCUUGUAGAUUUUAAAUUUAUUUGAUAGCAUAAUACUGUCAGUCUUUUUUUAUAUCAUUGUUUAAGAGCUUGUUUCAAACUAUAUAAUGAAUUGACAACCUUAUAAUUUUCUUUCUUUUUCUUAAAUAACAAACAUUUUGAUAUUUUUCAUAUGACAUCUUCAUCAAGGUCACCAUUUAGAAAAAAAAAAUAUUUUUACAUUUAUUUUAUAUAUUCUAAGCUUGCUAAUAUUUAUGAUGGUUGUUAACAUCCAUUUGAAAGUUAUUAUUGACACAUGUUAAUAUCUAUCAAAAUAGUCUAUACUUUUUUGUUGUUUUAUUCUUUUUAAUGGUUCUAUAACUUUUAUUUUUCACUUGAAGAUCUAUUUAUGGUCUAAUGGUUUUUUUUUUUUAGUAGAAGAUCCACUAGUUUUUAUGUAUAUUUUUGCAUGAUAGAAUCAAUCUUGUUAUUGACUACCUGCCCCUUCCAAUAGGAAGCUUUAGAGCAGGUCAUUACCUUAGAGUAGUUUUGAGACUCAUUUUUUAACAAGUAAAUUAAAAAAUCAAAAAGAAUAUUUUUGAUAGUUUUUUUCUUUUUACUCUAUCUUAGCUCAAUUCAUCAUAUUUUUAUUUGAUGAUGAUCACUUGAACUUGUCUCACUUGUUUUUUUAAGUGAUAAAUUUCUAUUGCCUUCUUAUAAGAAAAUAUUUUUUCAAAGAAUGCAACAUUUUUUAAUUGUAUUAUUGUAUUGAAAUGAAUAUUCUUAAUACUUGAUUUUUAUACAAGAAAUCGAUACACACUACUAGUGUAAGCAUAUCCAAUGAAUGCACAAUUUAUAAUUUUAGAUCAUGUCUUGACAUUUUUAUGUUUAGUUAUUGCUAUUUUUGUAAAACACUCUCGUACUUUAAGUUACUUUAUGAAGAUCUUUUUUAUUUUCAUAACUUAUAUGGUUUCUUUUUAACUUUUUAAAAUGUACUUUAUUAAGUAUAUAAUUAACAAUAAAAGUUGUCUUCUCUUAUAAGUUUGAAGUAGUUUCCAAACUUAUUAACAUGAUAUUCAUUAUUUUCUUUUAAAAUUUAUUUUUUAUAUCCAACAAUGCUAUUUUGUUGAAGUAAAUAAGUAGUAGUAAUUUUAUGUAUAGUUUUUAAACCUGACCCAGUCCAAGACUCGGGUUCAGGGUUUUGACCGGGUCACUGGGUCAAUUCUAAUUUUUUUAAAAAAUCAAAACGACGUUGUUUUAGUAAAAAAAAAUUAAAAGUCAACGGGUUGCAAUCAAGAUUUUGAUCGGUUCUUGCCAGGUCAAAGUUAGCUGGGUCAUCCCGGGUUUUGACUUUUUUUAUUUUUUCUUAAACCCGGCCCGGUUCCAUUCACGGUUUAGCCGGGUCCCGGGUCAACCCGUCAGGCCGGGCUAGAUUUCAAAACUAUAGUUUUAUGGAUGUUGCCAUUUUUGAAAUAAAAAUUCACCAAAAGAUGUAUUUUAUUCUUUAUCUUUAUUGCUUUUUAUUACCUUUAUUUUUUUGUAAAAUUGAUUUUCAACUUUACUUUUAUAACUUUAAACAUUACAAGAGUCUUGUUAAAACAAGUUCUCGAUUCAACUAAUUACCUAACUUGUUUAAAAUUAAACAAUAAAAAGAAAUUUAUC
Molecule: long non-coding RNA, 21146 nt
Filed under: Populus tremula
Lineage: Eukaryota; Viridiplantae; Streptophyta; Magnoliopsida; Malpighiales; Salicaceae
Description: long non-coding RNA (PTRE_LNC002380)
Source: RNAcentral